Molecule: ribosomal RNA, 492 nt
Filed under: uncultured bacterium
Lineage: Bacteria
Description: partial 16S ribosomal RNA
Rfam family: Bacterial small subunit ribosomal RNA
Source: RNAcentral
AGUGAACGCUGGCGGUAGGCCUAACACAUGCAAGUCGAACGGCAGCACAGUAAGAGCUUGCUCUUACGGGUGGCGAGUGGCGGACGGGUGAGGAAUACAUCGGAAUCUACUUUUUCGUGGGGGAUAACGUAGGGAAACUUACGCUAAUACCGCAUACGACCUACGGGUGAAAGCAGGGGAUCUUCGGACCUUGCGCGAUUGAAUGAGCCGAUGUCGGAUUAGCUAGUUGGCGGGGUAAAGGCCCACCAAGGCGACGAUCCGUAGCUGGUCUGAGAGGAUGCGCAGCCACACUGGAACUGAGACACGGUCCAGACUCCUACGGGGGGCAGCAGUGGGGAAUAUUGGACGAUGGGCGCAAGCCUGAUCCAGCCAUCCCGCGUGGGUGAAGAAGGCCUUCGGGUUGUAAAGCCCUUUUGUUGGGAAAGAAAAGCAGCAGGUUAAUCCCCCGCUGUUCUGACGGUACCCAAAGAAUAAGCACCGGCUAACUUCGUG